GACGGAGGAUGCAAGUGUUAUCCGGAAUCACUGGGCGUAAAGCGUCUGUAGGUGGUUUAAUAAGUCAACUGUUAAAUCUUGAGGCUCAACCUCAAAAUCGCAGUCGAAACUAUUAGGCUAGAGUAUAGUAGGGGUAAAGGGAAUUUCCAGUGGAGCGGUGAAAUGCGUAGGGAUUGGAAAGAACACCGAUGGCGAAGGCACUUUACUGGGCUAUUACUAACACUCAGAGACGAAAGCUAGGGUAGCAAAUGGG
This 253-nucleotide ribosomal RNA is filed under the name uncultured bacterium. RNAcentral describes it as "partial 16S ribosomal RNA". It matches the Rfam family "Bacterial small subunit ribosomal RNA", at positions 524 to 776 of the family's 1533-position model. The record is from RNAcentral.